This 464-nucleotide ribosomal RNA is filed under the name uncultured bacterium. Its description in RNAcentral is "partial 16S ribosomal RNA". It matches the Rfam family "Bacterial small subunit ribosomal RNA", at positions 29 to 507 of the family's 1533-position model. The record is from RNAcentral.
ACGAACGCUGGCGGCGUGCUUCACACAUGCCAGUCGAACGGAAAGGCCCCUUUGGGGGUCCUCGAGUGGCGACCGGGUGAGUAACACGUGAGUAACCUGCCCUUUACUUCGGGAUAACUUCAGGAAACUGGGGCUAAUACCGGAUAGGAAUCCUUGCUUCAUGGUGGGGGUUGGAAAGCUUCGGCGGUUUUGGUUGGACUCACGGCUUAUCAGCUUGUUGGUGGGGUAGUGGCUUACCAAGGCUUUGUCGGGUAGCCGGCCUGGGAGGGCGACCGGCCACAUUGGGACUGAGAGACGGCCCAGACACCUACGGGAGGAAGAAGUGGGGAAUAUUGAACAAUGGGAGGAAGCCUGAUGCAGCAACGCCGCGUGCGGGAUGACGGCCUUAGGGUUGAAAACCGAAUUCAGCAGGGGCGAAGCUUGUGGUGACGGUACCUGCAGAAGAAGCACCGGCUAACUACGUG